This 465-nucleotide long non-coding RNA is filed under the name Carica papaya (papaya). Its description in RNAcentral is "long non-coding RNA (CPAP_LNC015244)". Lineage: Eukaryota; Viridiplantae; Streptophyta; Magnoliopsida; Brassicales; Caricaceae. The record is from RNAcentral.
CCCAUAUGGAGAUCUUGGAUUAGUUGUUGCCUUUCCUCUGUAUUUCUUUCUGUUAUUAUUACAAAUUUUGGUUCAAAGGGUGUGUGGGAUUAGGAAAGGGAACUCCCUUUUACGUUGCUCUUUACUUUGAUGAUGAAUGUCUUUUGCAUAACGGUCAUGAGAGAAGUAGAGAGUUACUGUGAAGGGCUUGCUUGUGGGGGGUGAAGAGGUGGAGGAUUUUUAUUUGUGAUUUUUAGAUGAUAUUAUUCUCAUUUUUCCUGAAAACGUUUUUUUCAGUGUCAUCUCUCUCUUGUAAAUUUUUGAAGUAGUCUCGGGUUCGACAAUCAAUUUCUUGAGAAGUGGCUAAAUGUGGUUGUUUCAUCCGAUUUAUCCCACAUUGCAGAUAAUAUUAAGGAGAAGGUGCUGUUUCCCCUUUCUCUUAAUAAAAAUUCUUUCUCUGUGAAAACAAAAUAUUGAGGGGAAUAU